UACAGAGGUCUCAAGCGUUGUUCGGAUUCAUUGGGCGUAAAGGGUGCGUAGGCGGCCCGGUAAGUCGGGUGUGAAAUCUCGGAGCUUAACUCCGAAACUGCAUUCGAUACUGCCGUGCUUGAGGACUGGAGAGGAGACUGGAAUUUACGGUGUAGCGGUGAAAUGCGUAGAUAUCGUAAGGAAGACCAGUGGCGAAGGCGGGUCUCUGGACAGUUCCUGACACUGAGGCACGAAGGCCAGGGGAGCAAACGGG
This 253-nucleotide ribosomal RNA is filed under the name uncultured bacterium. RNAcentral describes it as "partial 16S ribosomal RNA". It matches the Rfam family "Bacterial small subunit ribosomal RNA", at positions 524 to 776 of the family's 1533-position model. The record is from RNAcentral.